Molecule: ribosomal RNA, 548 nt
Filed under: uncultured Glomeromycotina
Lineage: Eukaryota; Fungi; Glomeromycota
Description: SSU rRNA
Rfam family: Eukaryotic small subunit ribosomal RNA
Source: RNAcentral
UUGGAGGGCAAGUCUGGUGCCAGCAGCCGCGGUAAUUCCAGCUCCAAUAGCGUAUAUUAAAGUUGUUGCAGUUAAAAAGCUCGUAGUUGAAUUUCGGGAUCAGUACGUUGGUCGUGCCUUAGGUACGUACUGGUGUUACUGGUUCCUACCUUCUGACGAACCAUCAUGUCAUUUAUUUGGUGUGGCGGGGAAUCAGGACUGUUACUUUGAAAAAAUUAGAGUGUUUAAAGCAGGCUCGCGCUUGAAUACAUUAGCAUGGAAUAAUGAAAUAGGACGUUGAUCCUAUUUUGUUGGUUUCUAGGAUUGACGUAAUGAUUAAUAGGGAUAGUUGGGGGCAUUAGUAUUCAAUUGUCAGAGGUGAAAUUCUUGGAUUUAUUGAAGACUAACUACUGCGAAAGCAUUUGCCAAGGAUGUUUUCAUUAAUCAAGAACGAAAGUUAGGGGAUCGAAGACGAUCAGAUACCGUCGUAGUCUUAACCAUAAACUAUGCCGACUAGGGAUCGGAUGAUGUUAAUUUUUUAAUGGCUCAUUCGGCGCCUUACGGGAAAC